UACACGACCGUACCGCAAACCGACACUGGUGCGCGAGAUGAGUAUUCUAAGGCGCUUGAGAGAACUCAGGAGAAGGAACUCGGCAAAUUGACACCGUAACUUCGGAAGAAGGUGUGCCUUUAGUAGGUGAAGGGAUUUACUCCUAGAGCCCAAUGAGGUUGCAAAAAAUCGGUGGCUGCGACUGUUUAUUAAAAACACAGCACUCUGCAAACACGAAAGUGGACGUAUAGGGUGUGACGCCUGCCCGGUGCUGGAAGAUUAAAUGAUGGGGUGCAAGCUCUUGAUUGAAGUCCCAGUAAACGGCGGCCGUAACAAUAACGGUCCUAAGGUAGCGAAAUUCCUUGUCGGGUAAGUUCCGACCUGCACGAAUGGCGUAACGAUGGCCACACUGUCUCCUCCUGAGACUCAGCGAAGUUGAAAUGUUUGUGAUGAUGCAAUCUCCCCGCGGAAAGACGGAAAGACUCCAUGAACCUUUACUGUAGCUUUGUAUUGGACUUUGAACAGAUCUGUGUAGGAUAGGUGGGAGGCUUUGAAGUAGGGUCGCUAGAUCUUAUGGAGCCAACGUUGAAAUACCACCCUGGUGUGUUUGAGGUUCUAACCUAGGUCCAUUAUCUGGAUCGGGGACAGUGCAUGGUAGGCAGUUUGACUGGGGCGGUCUCCUCCCAAAGCGUAACGGAGGAGUUCGAAGGUACGCUAGUUACGGUCGGACAUCGUGACGAUAGUGCAAUGGCAUAAGCGUGCUUAACUGCGAGACUGACAAGUCGAGCAGAUGCGAAAGCAGGACAUAGUGAUCCGGUGGUUCUGUAUGGAAGGGCCAUCGCUCAACGGAUAAAAGGUACUCUGGGGAUAACAGGCUGAUACCGCCCAAGAGUUCAUAUCGACGGCGGUGUUUGGCACCUCGAUGUCGGCUCAUCUCAUCCUGGGGCUGUAGCCGGUCCCAAGGGUAUGGCUGUUCGCCAUUUAAAGAGGUACGUUAGCUGGGUUUAAAACGUCGUGAGACAGUUUGGUCCCUAUCUUCCGUGGGCGCUGCAGAUUUGAGGAAGCCUGCUCCUAGUACGAGAGGACCGGAGUGGACACACCUCUGGUGUAUCGGUUGUCACGCCAGUGGCAUUGCCGAGUAGCUAAGUGUGGAAGAGAUAACCGCUGAAAGCAUCUAAGCGGGAAACUCGUUUCAAGAUGAGAUCUGCCGGGGCCUUGAGCCCCCUAAAGAGUCGUUCAAGACCAGGACGUUGAUAGGUCGGGUGUGGAGGCGCAGUAAUGCGUUAAGCUAACCGAUACUAAUUGCUCGUGCGGCUUGA
This 1298-nucleotide ribosomal RNA is filed under the name metagenome. Its description in RNAcentral is "bacterial LSU rRNA". It matches the Rfam family "Bacterial large subunit ribosomal RNA", at positions 1635 to 2925 of the family's 2925-position model. The record is from RNAcentral.